UUUGCGCUGCCCCUUCUCCCUCCUGCUGUGUGGAUGAGAGGGGCGAAGAUUGGGCUCCUAUGUGUCUUGUGCACAUAGGUGUCUUAAACAUGGAGCUUGAUGUAGUGAGCACUGUGAUGAUUGGUGGUUGGAUGGGCCAUUUGCCCUAGAAGCAUCUUGUCAGGAAGUGCCGUGCUGAGUUUGCUARGAGGAUUUGAAUUGGUUUGAAUUCUCAAUGUGAAUAAAUUGCUAUGAUUUGACAACAGUUGC
This 249-nucleotide unclassified non-coding RNA is filed under the name Limonium wrightii. RNAcentral's name for it is "ITS2". Lineage: Eukaryota; Viridiplantae; Streptophyta; Magnoliopsida; Caryophyllales; Plumbaginaceae. The record is from RNAcentral.